UGGGGAAUUGUUCGCAAUGGGCGAAAGCCUGACGACGCAACGCCGCGUGGAGGAUGAAGAAUUUCGGUUCGUAAACUCCUUUCGACCGAGAUGAACACCCCGCAAUUUAAUACGUUGUGGGACUGACAGUAUCGAGAGAAGAAGCCCCGGCUAACUCUGUGCCAGCAGCCGCGGUAAUACAGGGGGGGCAAGCGUUGUUCGGAAUUACUGGGCGUAAAGGGUUCGUAGGUGGCCAACUAAGUCAGAUGUGAAAUCCCUCAGCUUAACUGGGGAACUGCUUCUGAUACUGGUUGGCUUGAGUGCAGGAGAGGAAUGCGGAAUUCCAGGUGUAGCGGUGAAAUGCGUAGAUAUCUGGAGGAACACCGGUGGCGAAGGCGGCAUUCUGGACUGUAACUGACACUGAGGAACGAAAGCCAGGGGAGCAAACGGG
RNAcentral lists this ribosomal RNA (430 nucleotides) under uncultured bacterium. RNAcentral's name for it is "bacterial SSU rRNA". It matches the Rfam family "Bacterial small subunit ribosomal RNA", at positions 355 to 776 of the family's 1533-position model. The record is from RNAcentral.